This 253-nucleotide ribosomal RNA is filed under the name uncultured bacterium. RNAcentral describes it as "partial 16S ribosomal RNA". It matches the Rfam family "Bacterial small subunit ribosomal RNA", at positions 524 to 776 of the family's 1533-position model. The record is from RNAcentral.
UACAGAGGGUGCAAGCGUUGCUCGGAUUUACUGGGCGUAAAGCGUACGCAGACGGUGGGCAAGGUCGGAUGUGAAAGCCCCGGGCUCAGCCCGGGAACUGCAUCCGAAACCGUCCCGCUAGAGUAUGAGAGAGGGAAGCAGAAUUCAUGGUGUAGAGGUGAAAUUCGUAGAUAUCAGGAGGAAUACCUGCGGCGAAGGCGGCUUCCUGGCUCAUUACUGACGUUCAGGUACGAAAGCGUGGGUAGCAAACAGG